AUGCCCCACCACAAUCCACUCCAAGAAACCUCUGCCUGCUUUAUCAAGCAUUGGAAUGGCAUCCAGCACCACACUGUCAGAUAGGAGGGAUGAGUUUCUGGAGGAGCCUGGAGUGGUUGAGCUAGAUGGGAGCACCAUGGAGGAGCCUGGAGUGGUUGAGCUAGAUGGGAGCACCAUGGAGGCAACAGAAGCCUGAUGAAUAUGAGCAUCUCCGGAGAGACCACAGAAGUAAAUGAAGAUUAGGUCAAUGACCU
Long non-coding RNA from Coregonus clupeaformis (lake whitefish), 254 nucleotides. RefSeq lists it as uncharacterized. The record is from RefSeq and is a predicted model, not a curated record. NCBI's taxonomy places the organism in Eukaryota, Metazoa, Chordata, Actinopteri, Salmoniformes, Salmonidae. The transcript has 3 exons.